This 254-nucleotide ribosomal RNA is filed under the name uncultured bacterium. RNAcentral's name for it is "partial 16S ribosomal RNA". It matches the Rfam family "Bacterial small subunit ribosomal RNA", at positions 524 to 776 of the family's 1533-position model. The record is from RNAcentral.
GACGUAGGGCGCGAGCGUUGUCCGGAUUUAUUGGGCGUAAAGAGCUCGUAGGCGGUUCGAUAAGUCGGACGUGAAAUCUCCACGCUCAACGUGGAGGGGCCGUUCGAUACUGUCGUGACUCGAGUCCGGUAGGGGAGACUGGAAUUCCUGGUGUAGCGGUGAAAUGCGUAGAGAUCGGGAGGAACACCAGUGGCGAAGGCGGCUCGCUGGGCCGGACCUGACGCUGAGACGCGAAGGCGUGGGGAGCGAACGGG